CGGAGAAACUAGUGUGUUGGCGGCGCCCCGGCUGUACCUCAGUAGCAGCGCGCUCAGCGGCUUUUGCGAGCUCGGGGAGGAGAGCAGCGGCGGCGAGGGCUGCGGAGCCUCGCGCGGGCGGCUAGGGGCCUCUGAGCGCGGCGGGUGGCGACGCCACGAGCGCAUGGAUGACUUCCCCCAUUUAAAACUGUUUCCCGGACUUCCCUGGUGGUGCAGUGGUUAAGAAUCCGCCUGCCAAUGCAGGGGACACGGGUUCGAGCCCUGGUCCGGGAAGAUCCCACAUGCCGUGGAGCAACUAAGCCCGUGUGCCACAACUGCUGAACCUGCGCUCUACAGCCUGCGAGCCACAACUACUGAAGCCUGUGCGCGCCUAGAGCCCGUACUCUGCAACAAGAGAAGCCACCGCAAUGAGAAGCCCCCACUAGCCGCAACUAGAGAAAGUCUGCGUACAGCAACGAAGACCCAAGGCAGCCCAAAAUGAACGAAUGAAUGAAUGAAUAAUAAAAUAAAAUAAAACUGUUUCCCUCCCCAUCCGCUUUUGAGGACACUGCUGGUUCUCUCUUCCUACCACUCUUACUCCAGCACUUUACAGGCCAGACCUGCCACCUGCCAUGAAUGAGUAUCUGGGCUCCCCCCACCCCCCAGCCCUGGGCUCCAUCCUAAACUCCUUUCUAUACUUUACAUGCUUUCCUCUCGGGGACCUCAGUCACUCCCAUGGCUUCAAUUACCUCUUAUGUGCUGAUAACUCACAAAAGGCACCCCAAAUCCUACCCACUCUUUGAGCACCAGACCGCUGAGUCCCACUGUCAGGCGGCUCUCUCCACCUAGACGCCUUGUUCUCCGCAGAUGUGGUGGCUUCCUGGCUUAACCUCCCAUCCCUCAGCCCUGACUCUCCAGACAUACCAAACCUUCAUUCCCUGGCAGACGCGUCAAGUCCUGUUUCACUUUUCCCCUGACUGGUCUUCAUCUGCUGAGGGAGAUCACCGUUGACUUCUGGUCCUGGAAAAUGGGGAGAGCGCAGACGUUAAGACAUGGAUACAACAUUCUAGCUCUUAAGACAACCUCCGUCUAAGACCUUCUCGACGUAAAAGAGGUCUUCUACGGGGUCUCCAGUGCUCUUGGACAGACCGGAACAGUCCACUGGCAAACAAGACUGAGUCCAGAGAGAGACGCACCUUUGGUACACUGCAAUAUUCUUUGGAACAAAACCGGGUAUUUGGUGAUCUGUUGGGUUACAAGCAAUAUACACUCUGGGAUUCCAAGCCUCCGUACGACUGAACUGCUCAUCUUCUUCUGCAAGGAAGUAAACCAAGUGUCAGGAUCUACCCAAGGGAGAAGGCUCGAGCCAAAACUGACAGUGACACAAGGCUCUGGACAACAGGGAAAUCCCCACCGUUUCACAUCGGUACCUUCACAAAGGCCUGAAAACGCUUAUCCUUGGCAUAGAGGUCUUUGAAGUAGUUUACAGACUGGUUGUGCUGCCCACAAAACUUGCCGUAUGUCUUCUUUAAGCGUUCUGCGUUCUCUCCUGAAAACUGCAGAGGAAAGAGAGCAGAGGUUAUGCCAUAACUCAGGGUGCUAAACUCCUAUUACCAUUUUGUCUAAAGUUUCCAGUCUACUUGUGAAACCCAAGAGAGCUCCCUCCAAAGAUUGAAAGAUUAAAAUGGUACAGGAGCUUUGGAAAACAGUUUAGCAGUUCCUCAAAAAGUUAAAUAUAGAGUUACCAUAGGACUCAGCAAUUCCACUCCUGGACAUAAAAACAUAUGUCCACACAAAAACCUGUAUAUGAAUGUUCACAGCAGCAUUAUUCACAACAGCCCCAGAGUGGAAAUAACCCAAGUGUUCAUCAGAGGAUAAAUGGAUAACAUAUGAAUGAAAAAAGCCAAUCACAAAGGACAACAUAUUGCUUUAUUCCAUUUAUAUAAAAUGUGCAGAAUAGGCAACCCCACAGAGAAAGUAGAUCAGUGGCUGCCUAGGGCUGGGGAAGUUGGUGGGGGUGACGAUGAUAAAAAUGCUCUACAACGGACCAUGGCGACGGCUGCACAAGAGUCACGGAUAUACUGAAAACCACUGAACUGUGCACUUUAAAUGGGAUCACAUGGCAUAUGAUUUACACUUCAAUAAAGCUGUUACAUGUAUUUAAAAAAUAAUAAACACAGAAGUAUCUAUGUAC
Mesoplodon densirostris (Blainville's beaked whale) is the source of this 2173-nucleotide long non-coding RNA. RefSeq lists it as uncharacterized. Lineage: Eukaryota; Metazoa; Chordata; Mammalia; Artiodactyla; Ziphiidae. The record is from RefSeq and is a predicted model, not a curated record. The transcript has 5 exons.